RNAcentral lists this ribosomal RNA (395 nucleotides) under uncultured bacterium. RNAcentral's name for it is "bacterial SSU rRNA". It matches the Rfam family "Bacterial small subunit ribosomal RNA", at positions 505 to 898 of the family's 1533-position model. The record is from RNAcentral.
GUGCCAGCAGCCGCGGUAAUACAGAGGGUGCAAGCGUUGUCCGGAAUCACUGGGCGUAAAGGGCGCGUAGGCGGCCUGAUAAGUCGGGGGUGAAAUUCUGCGGCUUAACCGCAGGACGGCCUUCGAGACUGUCGGGCUUGAGCACGGUAGAGGCUGGUGGAAUUCCCGGUGUAGCGGUGGAAUGCGUAGAGAUCGGGAAGAACAUCGGUGGCGAAGGCGGCCAGCUGGGCCGUUGCUGACGCUGAGGCGCGACAGCGUGGGGAGCAAACAGGAUUAGAUACCCUGGUAGUCCACGCCGUAAACGAUGGGUACUAGGCGUCGGGGGGAGCGACCCCUUCGGUGCCGUCGCUAACGCAGUAAGUACCCCGCCUGGGGAGUACGGCCGCAAGGCUGAA